GCGUGCCUUUCACUACGGAAUAGUCCCGGGAAACUGGGUUUAAUACCGUAUACGCCCUUCGGGGGAAAGAAUUUCGGUGAGAGAUCGGCCCGCGUCUGAUUAGGUAGUUGGUGGGGUAAUGGCCUACCAAGCCGACGAUCAGUAGCUGGUUUGAGAGGAUGAUCAGCCACACUGGGACUGAGACACGGCCCAGACUCCUACGGGAGGCAGCAGUGAGGGAUCUUGGACAAUGGGGGCAACCCUGAUCCAGCCAUGCCGCGUGAACGAUGAAGGCCUUAGGGUUGUAAAGUUCUUUCAACGGUGAAGAUAAUGACGGUAGCCGUAGAAGAAACCCCGGCUAACUCCGUGCCAGCAGCCGCGGUAAUACGGAGGGGGUUAGCGUUGUUCGGAAUUACUGGGCGUAAAGCGCACGUAGGCGGACUAUUAAGUCAGGGGUGAAAUCCCGGGGCUCAACCCCGGAACUGCCCUUGAUACUGGUAGUCUAGAGUUCGAGAGAGGUGAGUGGAAUUCCGAGUGUAGAGGUGAAAUUCGUAGAUAUUCGGAGGAACAC
This 550-nucleotide ribosomal RNA is filed under the name uncultured bacterium. RNAcentral's name for it is "bacterial SSU rRNA". It matches the Rfam family "Bacterial small subunit ribosomal RNA", at positions 124 to 709 of the family's 1533-position model. The record is from RNAcentral.